AAAAAAAAGCACUCAGAUAUUUUCCUUUUACAACGAACCUUUAGCUAUACUGUUUGAAAUCUCUUCAGCAAAAGUUACUUACCAUCUUCGUAUGGCUGCCAAGAACAUCAUUCCUCCCUAAGGUGGAUCUGGCCUGGAAUAUACAAACCAGAGACAGAAAACAACAACAACCAUCACCACCAUCCAAGACAGAAACAAUCCCGGACAACUCAAAACUUGUCAUCCUUUACUGAUGUCUUGGUAAUUUCCAUUCUCUAUUUUUCCCCUCCAGAAAACAACGACAACAACCUAAAGGGGGGGAAAAGAACAUAACCAGCUCCACUUAGGUCACAUUUAUCCACUUUGUAGUUGAUAUAGAAAGUGUUACUGUUAUAGCUGUUUUGAGGCCUCAAUUUAAGUUUCUUACUCUGUACCAACCAAAGGGCAAGAAUAAUAUUCCAGCCUCAAAUGUUACGUUGUGUCAUGAGAUGAAACAAGUAAUAACAUUG
Molecule: long non-coding RNA, 488 nt
Organism: Rhineura floridana
Lineage: Eukaryota; Metazoa; Chordata; Lepidosauria; Squamata; Rhineuridae
Exons: 2
Source: RefSeq, a predicted model, not a curated record